CCUACGGGUGGCAGCAGUGAGGAAUAUUGGUCAAUGGCCGGAAGGCUGAACCAGCCACGCCGCGUGAAGGAGGAAGGCGCAGAGCGUCUCAGACCUCUUUUGCCGGGGGACAAAAUGCCGGGCUCGUCCGGUUCUGAGGGUACCCGGAGAAAAAGCAUCGGCUAACUCCGUGCCAGCAGCCGCGGUAAUACGGGGGAUGCGAGCGUUGUCCGGAUUGAGUGGGUUAAAAGGGUGCGCAGGCGGGCCUUUAAGCCGGCGGUGAAAUCGCGGGGCUAAACCCCGCCGUGCCGUCGGUACUGGGGACCUUGAGUGAGGUGGAGGCAAGCGGAAUUCGCGGUGUAGCGGUGAAAUGCAUAGAUAUCGCGAAGAACACCGAUUGCGAAGGCAGCGUGCCGUGCCGUCACUGACGCUGAGGAACGAAAGCGCGGGGAUCGAACAGGAUUAGAUACCCUUGUAGUC
RNAcentral lists this ribosomal RNA (459 nucleotides) under uncultured bacterium. RNAcentral's name for it is "partial 16S ribosomal RNA". It matches the Rfam family "Bacterial small subunit ribosomal RNA", at positions 338 to 795 of the family's 1533-position model. The record is from RNAcentral.